GGACCCUUUCGGGUCCCGGGGUAACUGGUCAGGGCGAUGGCCCUCUUCUGUGGUGGCUACGCCGCCUGCGACUGCGGGCGGGGCACGGGGUUGGACCACUGGUCGGGGAUGCCAAAUCCGU
This is a long non-coding RNA of Maniola jurtina (meadow brown), 121 nucleotides long. RefSeq lists it as uncharacterized. The transcript has 3 exons. The record is from RefSeq and is a predicted model, not a curated record. NCBI's taxonomy places the organism in Eukaryota, Metazoa, Arthropoda, Insecta, Lepidoptera, Nymphalidae.